This 76-nucleotide transfer RNA is filed under the name uncultured Clostridium sp. Its description in RNAcentral is "tRNA-Asp(gtc)". It matches the Rfam family "tRNA". Rfam says of the family: Transfer RNA (tRNA) molecules are approximately 80 nucleotides in length. Their secondary structure includes four short double-helical elements and three loops (D, anti-codon, and T loops). Further hydrogen bonds mediate the characteristic L-shaped molecular structure. tRNAs have two regions of fundamental functional importance: the anti-codon, which is responsible for specific mRNA codon recognition, and the 3' end, to which the tRNAs corresponding amino acid is attached (by aminoacyl-tRNA synthetases). tRNAs cope with the degeneracy of the genetic code in two manners: having more than one tRNA (with a specific anti-codon) for a particular amino acid; and 'wobble' base-pairing, i.e. permitting non-standard base-pairing at the 3rd anti-codon position. Lineage: Bacteria; Bacillati; Bacillota; Clostridia; Eubacteriales; Clostridiaceae. The record is from RNAcentral.
UGGCCCAGUGGCUCAGUUGGUUAGAGCGCCGCCCUGUCACGGCGGAGGUCACGAGUUCGAGUCUCGUCUGGGUCGU